RNAcentral lists this ribosomal RNA (751 nucleotides) under human gut metagenome. Its description in RNAcentral is "bacterial SSU rRNA". It matches the Rfam family "Bacterial small subunit ribosomal RNA", at positions 775 to 1520 of the family's 1533-position model. The record is from RNAcentral.
GGAUUAGAUACCCUGGUAGUCCACGCCGUAAACGGUGGAUGCUGGAUGUGGGGCCCGUUCCACGGGUUCCGUGUCGGAGCUAACGCGUUAAGCAUCCCGCCUGGGGAGUACGGCCGCAAGGCUAAAACUCAAAGAAAUUGACGGGGGCCCGCACAAGCGGCGGAGCAUGCGGAUUAAUUCGAUGCAACGCGAAGAACCUUACCUGGGCUUGACAUGUUCCCGACAGCCGUAGAGAUAUGGCCUCCCUUCGGGGCGGGUUCACAGGUGGUGCAUGGUCGUCGUCAGCUCGUGUCGUGAGAUGUUGGGUUAAGUCCCGCAACGAGCGCAACCCUCGCCCUGUGUUGCCAGCACGUCAUGGUGGGAACUCACGGGGGACCGCCGGGGUCAACUCGGAGGAAGGUGGGGAUGACGUCAGAUCAUCAUGCCCCUUACGUCCAGGGCUUCACGCAUGCUACAAUGGCCGGUACAACGGGAUGCGACACGGCGACGUGGAGCGGAUCCCUGAAAACCGGUCUCAGUUCGGAUUGGAGUCUGCAACCCGACUCCAUGAAGGCGGAGUCGCUAGUAAUCGCGGAUCAGCAACGCCGCGGUGAAUGCGUUCCCGGGCCUUGUACACACCGCCCGUCAAGUCAUGAAAGUGGGUAGCACCCGAAGCCGGUGGCCUAACCCUUUGUGGGAUGGAGCCGUCUAAGGUGAGACUCGUGAUUGGGACUAAGUCGUAACAAGGUAGCCGUACCGGAAGGUGCGGCUG